GGCUGGUCUGAAGGUAGUCAGUUUUCUCAGUUGAUUGUUUGCAGUCAGUUACAGAUUGAAGUCCUUGUUCUACUCUUUCCCUCUUCUCACUACUGUACUUGACUAGUCUUUA
Unclassified non-coding RNA from Ursus americanus (American black bear), 112 nucleotides. It matches the Rfam family "Y RNA". From Rfam's summary of the family: Y RNAs are components of the Ro ribonucleoprotein particle (Ro RNP), in association with Ro60 and La proteins. The Y RNAs and Ro60 and La proteins are well conserved, but the function of the Ro RNP is not known. In humans the RNA component can be one of four small RNAs -- hY1, hY3, hY4 and hY5. Lineage: Eukaryota; Metazoa; Chordata; Mammalia; Carnivora; Ursidae. The record is from Ensembl.